CCAAUAGCGUAUAUUAAAGUUGUUGCAGUUAAAAAGCUCGUAGUUGAAUUUCGGGGCCAGUAGGUUGGUCGUGCCAAUGGUAUGCACUGGCCUCACUGGUUCCUCCUUCUUGAAGAACCGUAAUGUCAUUAAUUUGGUGUUGCGGGGAAACAGGACUGUUACUUUGAAAAAAUUAGAGUGCUUAAAGCAGGCUAACGCUUGAAUACAUUAGCAUGGAAUAAUGAAAUAGGACGUUCGGUCUUAUUUUGUUGGUUUCUAGGAUUGACGUAAUGAUUAAUAGGGAUAGUUGGGGGCAUUAGUAUUCAAUUGUCAGAGGUGAAAUUCUUGGAUUUAUUGAAGACUAACUACUGCGAAAGCAUUUGCCAAGGAUGUUUUCAUUAAUCAAGAACGAAAGUUAGGGGAUCGAAGACGAUCAGAUUCCGUCGUAGUCUUAACCAUAAACUAUGCCGACUAGGGAUCGGAUGAUGUUAAUUUUUUAAUGACUCAUUCGGCGCCUUACG
RNAcentral lists this ribosomal RNA (500 nucleotides) under uncultured Glomeromycotina. Its description in RNAcentral is "partial small subunit ribosomal RNA". It matches the Rfam family "Eukaryotic small subunit ribosomal RNA", at positions 591 to 1092 of the family's 1831-position model. Lineage: Eukaryota; Fungi; Glomeromycota. The record is from RNAcentral.